AAGUCGUAACAAGGUAACCGUAGGUGAACCUGCGGUUGGAUCAUUACAAAAUACCAGUCUGGCUUGUCCCAUUUGGUUGACUUGCCAGACUACGUACCCCUUGUGCACUGUCAUUGUUUUUUGGGUUACUUUUCGAGUGUUGGUUUACACUGACACUCAGAGAGGGCCCAGCAGUACAAACCAAUUUAAUUUGUCUGAAACUAAGAGAAAAAUCGUAACAACUUUUGACAACGGAUCUCUUGGCUCUC
RNAcentral lists this unclassified non-coding RNA (248 nucleotides) under fungal sp. RNAcentral describes it as "partial internal transcribed spacer region". The stretch from base 1 to 46 matches the Rfam family "Eukaryotic small subunit ribosomal RNA", at positions 1786 to 1831 of the family's 1831-position model. Lineage: Eukaryota; Fungi. The record is from RNAcentral.